CUGAGUGGCAACGGGUGAUAAUAUGUGGGAAUCUGCCUUUUGGUUUGGAAUAACACGGGGAAACUUGUGCUAAUACCGAAUAAGCCCUUACGGGGAAAGUUUUAAUGCCGAAAGAUGAGCCCGCACUUGAUUAGCUAGUUGGUAAGGUAAAAGCUUACCAAGGCAACGAUCAAUAGCUGUUCU
RNAcentral lists this ribosomal RNA (183 nucleotides) under uncultured bacterium. RNAcentral's name for it is "partial 16S ribosomal RNA". It matches the Rfam family "Bacterial small subunit ribosomal RNA", at positions 101 to 293 of the family's 1533-position model. The record is from RNAcentral.